This 435-nucleotide ribosomal RNA is filed under the name uncultured bacterium. RNAcentral's name for it is "partial 16S ribosomal RNA". It matches the Rfam family "Bacterial small subunit ribosomal RNA", at positions 29 to 507 of the family's 1533-position model. The record is from RNAcentral.
AGCGAACGCUGGCGGCAGGCUUAACACAUGCAAGUCGAGCGGGCACUUUCGGGUGUCAGCGGCGGACGGGUGAGUAACGCGUGGGAACGUGCCCUCUGGUUCGGAAUAACUCAGGGAAACUUGAGCUAAUACCGGAUACGCCCUUUUGGGGAAAGGCUUGCUGCCGGAGGAUCGGCCCGCGUCUGAUUAGCUAGUUGGUGAGGUAACGGCUCACCAAGGCGACGAUCAGUAGCUGGUCUGAGAGGAUGAUCAGCCACACUGGGACUGAGACACGGCCCAGACUCCUACGGGAGGCAGCAGUGGGGAAUAUUGGACAAUGGGCGCAAGCCUGAUCCAGCCAUGCCGCGUGAGUGAUGAAGGCGUUAGGGUUGUAAAGCUCUUUUAUCCGGGACGAUAAUGACGGUACCGGAGGAAUAAGCCCCGGCUAACUUCGUG